AACCCUAGUCAAUAGAUUCACGGCGUAAAACGUGUUUAAGGAAUACUUUUAUAAAGUCAAACUCUAGCUACGCCGUAAAAAGCUAUAGCUACUGUAAGCUCUAACGCGAAAGUAACUUUAAGAUACCUGAAUACACGACAGCUAAGGCUCAAACUGGGAUUAGAUACCCCACUAUGCUUAGCCCUAAACCUAAAGAGUCCUCCUAACAAGACUCUUCGCCAGAGUACUACUAGCCAAAGCUUAAAACUCAAGGGACUUGGCGGUGCUUCAUAUCCUUCUAGAGGAGCCUGUUCUAUAAUCGAUAAACCCCGAUCAACCUCACCAACCCUUGUCAACU
RNAcentral lists this ribosomal RNA (337 nucleotides) under Artibeus planirostris (flat-faced fruit-eating bat). Its description in RNAcentral is "partial 12S ribosomal RNA". It matches the Rfam family "Bacterial small subunit ribosomal RNA", at positions 536 to 989 of the family's 1533-position model. Lineage: Eukaryota; Metazoa; Chordata; Mammalia; Chiroptera; Phyllostomidae. The record is from RNAcentral.